UACGUAGGGGGCAAGCGUUGUCCGGAUUUAUUGGGCGUAAAGAGCGUGUAGGCGGUUAUGCAGGUCCGCUGUGAAAACUGGGGGCUUAACCUCCAGACGUCGGUGGAAACCGUAUGACUAGAGUCCGGAAGAGGAGAGUGGAAUUCCUGGUGUAGCGGUGAAAUGCGCAGAUAUCAGGAAGAACACCCGUGGCGAAGGCGGCUCUCUGGGACGGUACUGACGCUGAGACGCGAAAGCGUGGGGAGCGAACAGG
This 253-nucleotide ribosomal RNA is filed under the name uncultured bacterium. RNAcentral's name for it is "partial 16S ribosomal RNA". It matches the Rfam family "Bacterial small subunit ribosomal RNA", at positions 524 to 776 of the family's 1533-position model. The record is from RNAcentral.